GCCAAUGUGGCAUAGAGGUUUGAGUAUUGGACUUCAACUCUAGAGACCAGGGUUCAACUCCCAACUUGGCC
RNAcentral lists this transfer RNA (71 nucleotides) under Phrynosoma platyrhinos (Desert horned lizard). Its description in RNAcentral is "tRNA-OTHER". Lineage: Eukaryota; Metazoa; Chordata; Lepidosauria; Squamata; Phrynosomatidae. The record is from RNAcentral.